RNAcentral lists this ribosomal RNA (460 nucleotides) under uncultured bacterium. Its description in RNAcentral is "partial 16S ribosomal RNA". It matches the Rfam family "Bacterial small subunit ribosomal RNA", at positions 338 to 795 of the family's 1533-position model. The record is from RNAcentral.
CCUACGGGUGGCAGCAGUGAGGAAUAUUGGUCAAUGGACGAGAGUCUGAACCAGCCAAGUAGCGUGAAGGAUGACUGCCCUAUGGGUUGUAAACUUCUUUUAUAAGGGAAUAAAAUGUUCCACGUGUGGGAUUUUGUAUGUACCAUAUGAAUAGGGAUCGGCUAACUCCGUGCCAGCAGCCGCGGUAAUACGGAGGAUCCGAGCGUUAUCCGGAUUUAUUGGGUUUAAAGGGAGCGUAGGUGGGUUGUUAAGUCAGUUGUGAAAGUUUGCGGCUCAACCGUAAAAUUGCAGUUGAUACUGGCAGUCGUGAGUACAGUAGAGGUGGGCGGAAUUCGUGGUGUAGCGGUGAAAUGCUUAGAUAUCACGAAGAACUCCGAUUGCGAAGGCAGCUCACUGGACUGCAACUGACACUGAGGCUCGAAAGUGUGGGUAUCAAACAGGAUUAGAUACCCGAGUAGUC